GGAGGGUGCAAACGUUUGUUCGGAAUCACUGGGCGUAAAGGGCGCGCAGGCGGACCUGUAAGUCAGGAGUGAAAACUCGGGGCUCAACUCCGAGCCUGCUUCUGAAACUGCAAGUCUUGAGGGCCGGAGAGGAGAGUGGAAUUCCUAGUGUAGCGGUGGAAUGCGUAGAUAUUAGGAAGAACACCAGUGGCGAAGGCGACUCUCUGGACGGUUCCUGACGCUGAGGCGCGAAAGCUAGGGGAGCAAACAGGGAUUAGAUACCCUGGUAGUCCUAGCCGUAAACGAUGAGUGCUAGGUGGUGGUGGUUUCAACGCCUUCACUGCCGGAGCUAACGCAUUAAGCACUCCGCCUGGGGAUACGGCCGCAAGGUUG
RNAcentral lists this ribosomal RNA (372 nucleotides) under uncultured organism. RNAcentral describes it as "partial 16S ribosomal RNA". It matches the Rfam family "Bacterial small subunit ribosomal RNA", at positions 527 to 896 of the family's 1533-position model. The record is from RNAcentral.